This 30055-nucleotide long non-coding RNA is filed under the name Cucumis sativus (cucumber). RNAcentral's name for it is "long non-coding RNA (CSAT_LNC003160)". The record is from RNAcentral. Lineage: Eukaryota; Viridiplantae; Streptophyta; Magnoliopsida; Cucurbitales; Cucurbitaceae.
UUUUAUGACAAUGACAGUUGAAUUUGAUUAAUUAUUAAUUAAGAGAAAACAUAUUGGGUUUGGAGCAUAUGAGAUUUAAUUAAUUUAUUAAAAGCUUUGCAGCCCUAACCAAAGCCAUGCAUGGCUUAUAAAUACUACCAAUUUCAAAGCUUCUAAAUACACCAAAACAAAAACUAACUUCCAACACAAGAAAAACCCAAAAUAAUAAUUCCAAUAUCUUCUUCCUUCUUCCUUCUUCCUUCUUCCUUCUUCCUUCUUCCUCGAUCUUCUUUAUAGGCCUCCUUCUUUCUCUAUAUUCUCAAAAUCAUGUCAUCCCUUGGAGCUUCCUAUGCCAAAAUCCACCUCCUACAGAAGCAACAAAAGGAGAAACUUGAGAGAAUGGAACCAAAUCGAUUCUCCCGAGGAGAGACCGCCACCGCCACGGGUUCCUCUAGUGGUGGUUCUUUGCUUGCAAGGAAUAAAAAAGUUCACCCGGGAAGCAUUGCUCCGACGACCACAGUCGACAGCUACAAAAAUAGAACAUGAUCAAGUUAUAUAUUUGACUUUAUGCUUCCCGGCCCUUCUUGAUCAUGACCUGUUUUCCUUCUUUUAGUGUCUAUAAAAUCGAAAAGCUUUUGUUUGUGUAAAUGUGUUUAAAAAUGUCUGUCCAAAGGCCAAAAGAAAAAGAAGAGGAAGAAGAAGAAGAAUAGUAUAAGUGUGUCUUUUGGUCUGAUCUACUCUUUUCAUGUUCUCUAGUCUGUACUUUUCCAAUGUUUUGCUGUUAAUUAAUUAAGGAUGUAAUUGUGUCUUAAUGCUUUAUAAGGUAAAGUAUAACACUUUAGUUUUUAUUAUACAUAUAUAUAUAGUAAUUUUCUCCUUUGACGUCAUGAUAGCUAUAGAAAAGUAUUUGGACAAUAUACAUCUCACAACUAUAUCUAUUCAUCUCAAAAUGAACAAAGUGAAGAAAAAAUUCAAAACAAUUAAUUAUUUUAUGUAGAGAUGUGAAGAAAUAAAAUAACUAUAUACAUUUGUAAUUUGUAACCUGUUACAUUAACAUUUGAAAAUGAAGAUGAAGUAAGUUGUAACUAAAACAUGUGAAUAGAGGAUAUGUGAGGGUUUGGACCUAUCAUUUUCAAUAUUGAUUUCAUAAGAAAGGAGAUUCAUAUCAUCCUCAUUAGAGGGAGGUAUGAUAGAGACAUGAGCUCACAAAUUAUUUUGGAUUAUCUUUUUUAUUUGAAGCAUUUGAGAAGCCAACCAUGUGAAAUGUUCUCAAGUUUUAAUGAUGGCUUCCAAUAAUAAUAAUAAUGGAAUUGCAAGUUUAUUUGGAUUGGAAAAACUUUCUUCAUAGUUGACUUUUAAAAGUGGACUACUAUCCAUAGUGCCACCCACUAAAACCAAUUAAUUUAUAACUCUUUAGAACAAAGUCAAAUUAAUUAUAUCCAAUUUGGAUCUACUUUAUUUCUUCUUUUUUUUUUUAUUGACUGAAAUUAAUUAAAUUUUGAUUUAAAAGCCAACAUUUACAGCAAUUGGUUUCAGUGUAAUACUAGAGAUAAUAUAGUUAGAGAGGUUCACUUUUCUAUGUAUAGAUUCUAGGUCAAAAGGAUAAAUGUAAUCAACAAGGCUCAGAAGUGGAAAGUUAGACCUUUGACCUUAACUAUCCCACGAACAUCAACCUAAGCUCCAAGGGUUAAGUAGCCUAGCUUAGUUGGUCCAAUGAUCCUUUGAGUUGGGUCGAAAAGUUCAACUUCCACCUCCUAAUAAGUCGUCAACAACACCAUCCGAUAACUUUAAUAUACGAUGAUAUGUCCAACAUACCCCCGAACUUAAGUAUUUUACCUAGGAUUCGAUCAUGUUAUCAGAUAACUGCUUUAAGGCUACUUCGAUAAUCUGAUGGGUAAUAAGGACUUUUUGGUUUUGUCACAGCCUGAGUUGGCUUCUACUAAUUGGUUGUUGUGUAAUAUGGACUUUUUUUUGCCUAUCCUAGUAGUGCUCUCAAGCAUCAUCGAUGAUGAUCUAACGGGUAAUAAGGACGUUUUGGUUGUCAUAGCUACCGCUAGGAUUGACCAAAAAAGUCCAUAUUAUCCAACAACCAAUUAGUAAAGGCUAGCCCAAAUUUGUGACAACCAAAAAGUAUUUAUCACCAUCAGUUCAUCGGCGAUUCCUUUGAUAUAUAUUUUGAAAAUUAAAUGAAUAAUAGAAGAAAACCUAGGUCAACCUCUUUUAUAAAUAUAUCAUUAUAACUUUAUAUUGGAUAACUUGAUUCCUGCCCUUAAACUAUUUAUAAAUUUAAGCAUUGGAGUGUGUAUCACAAAGUAUCAUAUUAGUCUAUAGAAUUUUCUCUUUUGCAAAAUAUGUUCUACUCCCCUUCAAACAAAUUCACUUCACUAUUGUUAUUAGGGAAAACAUAUUUUUGUUGUUCAAGUUUUCACAUCAACAUCUUUCAUUUAAUUUGUGUAGUGAUAUAAUUUGUUUUUCUUGCAAUCCAUUUUUAAGAAUCUGCACUAAAUUUAAGUUUGAGUUAUCUGCAUAAUUCCCAUAAAUCGAAACUAAAUUUAGAAAACAAAUUAGAGAAGUUGGAUUUUAAGAACACAUGUUUUUUACUUCUAGAAUUUGAUAAAUUUAAAUGUUUUUUUAUGAAACAGGAAGAAAGUUAUUUUUUUAUUUAAGAAAAGUACAAUUUUCUCAAAUUAAAAAAAGAAAAAUAAACUCAAAUAACAACUAAAAUGGAGUCUUGGGUUUUAAUUAUUCUUUAAAACUAAUGUGGUUUGCCUUUUGCUUACACACCUUUCUUUUCUACAUUUUUAAAGUACUUUUAAAACCUUAACGAAACUGAGAUAACAAGGAAAUUUGAAAUUAAUUUUCAAAAAGUGGAUUAUUAUCAAUAAAUCUACUCUUGCAUUAGUGAUAUAUUGAUUAAUUUAUUGGGUUUGUGGUGAGGAUCAUUACUAUUGGUGCCCUAGGUUUAUAACGUGGAUUAUUAUUAUUUUAAUCAAUCUUCUUAAUCUCUAUUGAUAAGUUAAGCAAUUUAUCACAGUAUUUAUAACAAAACAUAAUUAAAAUUUUCCUACUUCAUUACUCAUUUUAUAUAUAAUUUAUUCUAAAUUUAUAUACUAAUUUAGUUCGUAUUUGAAUCAAUUUAGUCUUUUAUUUUUAAAAUGACUAAGGCUCACUAUCUUUUAACCACCAUUAAUACUAAUUAUUGUUGGUAAUUUAACGUUGUUAAUGUACCCCUUUUUGUCACACAUGACAUUCAUAAAAAGGAGAACACAUGUGUGCUAAUGCUUACCUUGGAAUCUGCUUUAGGAUGAUUUUUCUAUUUGAAUAGAUAUUUUUCAUAUAAUAUUCUCCUCGAAUGAAUCUAGAUUCAAAAUUAUUCCUUCCAUGUAUAUUUCAACCAAUCAAAUCUAGCUAGUAGAUGAACAUUUUCACUCAUCAAUUAGAGUAAUGAAUAGUAUUUCUAAGACUAACAAUUAAGUAUAUUAAAACAUUUUUUUAAAAUGAUAAAUAUAGCAAGAUUUGUCUCUAAAAGACUAUACCAAAUAGAGACUAUUUAUAUAAGUGAUAAAUUUUACUAUGGCUGUUGAGCAUAAAUUUGGUUAUAUUUUCAACAAAAGAAAAAACAAAAAAUUCUUAUACAUGUUAUUGUUAUAUUUGUGACAAUUGUUUUUAUAUAUUGAUAAAUGAUUGAUUAAUGUAGUGUGGGAAUUGAAAAAUGGUGUUAUGUUAUGUCUUGUUAUAAGGAGAAGAAAACAUAGCAGGAAGACCCCACCAAUGUGUCUUAAUAUAUGAAUGAAAAAUAAAGCUAACUUUCGGCAGCAACAGAGUGUGACACAUAAUUCCCCAAUUGCUCAAUUGUUAAAUGAUAUUCAUAUUUCAAAAUUAAUAAUAGUCCUUUGUAUUUGACACAUUGCUCCAUAAUAACCCUACAACUUGUCUCAAAUUAAAGAUUUGUGGUUGACAGAUGAGUUUCAUAACCCAUUAUUCUCUUUAUCAUUAUUGUUGUUAUUUAAUUUUAUAUUAAUAUUCAACACCCACCAAGACCAAUAUUGAGAAGCUAUAUAUGUCUAUAAUAAUAUGUACACUAUUGUUCUUAUAUAUUAUCAUUAUCAUUCAUAUAAUUUUAUUUUAGAACAAUUUGAGGGCAUGCACUCACCAAAUCAGAAAAAGCUACCAGCGUGGCUCUCCUUUUUGUUUUUGAAUUGUGUUGUGUGAGGUCCCUCCACCCCCACAAUUCAUCUUAAAUAAUAACACAUCUCAAUCACUAGGGUUCUAAUUUUUUUCUUUAAAAAAUUGAGUUCAUUCAAUCGUUUUCUUAUUAAUGUGUGUUCGAUAAAGCUGAUGUUAAACUUUGAACAAGAAAUUAAAUGUACCUAACUUUCAUUCAACCCUCACAAUGAAUUUAUUUGAUGGAGAGAAAUUAAAAGUGAUCUACGAAGGAAAAAAUUUACAAAUCGACCAUUAUAUAAUAUUCGUCACACACACUUACACUCUAAUGCUUUGAGUUGGGAAAGAUUAUGGAAGUGAAGAAGGUUGAGAGUAUGAUUCAAAUUAUUUGAUUCAUAUGAAUAAUGUAUAAUUAUAGAAAAGUAUUUUCUUUAAUUUUAUGUGGAAAUUAGCCAGGUAUUUGAUUAACAACAAGAAAAAAAAUGCAAAAACUAGAAACAGUAUUUAGUUAUAAUCUCCUUGAUGUAUCGGAAAUUAAUUAUUGUUCAUCAAUAAUGUUAGCUUUCUAAGUCUAUAUAAAAUAUGAAAGGUGUGCACAUUAAUAGUAGUGGGGGUCUAUUUUACUAUAAUGUGACAGAGAUAUACUUAAAUAAUUAAUCCUUACUUAUAAUGGUUAUUAAAGUUAUUAAGGAUUAGUAUUUAAACAACUAUUGGCUUUUGAAAUCACUUGUCACUUUGUGUUUGCACAGAGUUUUAGAGGAUGGAGAGUUUUCAAUUCUUCGUACUUUUAACUGAUUUACUUUAUUUGCUCAAAUACACGUACCAAAGAGUGAAAUAUAAAGAAUUGUAAAAUUUUUUGUUCCCAAUAAUUACGGAGGUGAAUGGAUGAAAAAAGAAAUAGUAAACAUUCAAAGUAGUAAUUGAUGUCUUCUCUACUCAAUCAAUACAAAGGUAUUGUCUGUUGGGUAGUGGUUUAAAUUAAGUAAAUAGUCGGGUUUUGAUUGGAUGUUUAGUUGUAUCAAAACGUAAUGUAAGUUUAUAAAAUUGAGAAUAACUAAUUCGUUACUCAAACUCUCUAGGUUAAAUAAAUUAAAAGUUUUGUCAAAGUUUUAUUAAUGUUUUUGUUCAAUAUAACGUAGUGGUUCAUUCAUGGGUUCCUAUUUGUAAAAUGCAACACUUAUCAUAUUAACCUUAGGAGUAUUCAUUAUCCCCUUGGUUUAUCUUUGGUUGGUUUGGUUGUGAUUUAUGAAACUAAAAUAAAUUUAAAAUUAUGUCAUUCUUUUCAUAAUUUUAAUCACUUUAGUCCCUUCUUUGAAAAAAAAGUUAAUCACUUUAAUCCCUCUAUUAUUGGUUGUGACUAAAUCGUGAAAUUAAUCUCACAAGGUAUUUUAGUGCGAUUUUUAGAGAUAAAAAAGUAAUUUUGAAUUGACUAAAAUAGAAUAGAAUAUAAAUAAACCAAAAUCAUUACAAAAAAAGUAAGUUGAUUGUAGUUAUGUUUUAUAAUUCAUUAGUAAAUACAGCAAUAUUUCAAAUUCUAUCUACACCAAUAGACAAUAAUAGAAAGUAUGUAUAUCUAUCCAUCCCUAUCAAAAUCUUUCAUAGAUAAAAAAUAAUUCCAUCCAAACAUAUUCUCUUCAUUUUUAAAACAAAGAUUCUAUUAAAUUUACCAUAACAAAAAAUUAGAGCAAAAGUUAAGGACAGUAUUUUAAUUAUUAAAAAAAAUAGAAAAAAAUAGGCGAACAUUUUCUUUCAUCAAGAAAAGAACAAAAUAUCAAAAAUGGAAACUUAAUGAGUACUUAUCCAUUUUUUCCCUUUAAAAAUUAAUAUAAUCAUUGAAAUUUUGUUUUUUUAGCAAAACUUUAAGCUAUUACUUGUGAUUAGUUAAACUACUUUGAUAACUGUAGGUUAAAAUCAACCAUGUUCUAUGUUAAUUCAUUGUCCUUUUAUCGUUUUCGAGCUGCUUGGCACCGUUUUCACCAUAGCUUCACGAAGCUAAGCUCGCAAAGUCUGUUUUGUGCCUUUGAAUUUUCAUUCCCAAGCUGUCCCAAUAAGCAUAUUCGUAUCUUAUUGAUUUCUAAAGAAACUUCCUUAUAAAAUUUCCAUGAAGCCAGCCACUAUCUUAUGUAAUUUCCCCCACUAUAGCCAUUUGCUAGCACUUUCACAGCUUCAACAAUGAAGAACAUAGACAUUUGUGCGGGAUACCUUCUCGUCGUCCAUCUGUCUGUCAUCUGCUCUUUCUUUUAUGGGUACAAUGGUCGUCGUCACUUUGAACUCAUAAAAUUGAAUUGAACCAUAUGGAACCUAUAUUUAAGAAAUCAUAGGGCUGAGUGAUCUCUCCCAAAAGUGUAGAGCCCUAUAUAUACCAGUUACAUUUCCAUAUUUUAUGUAUCCUCCCCCACAAAGUAGGGCAGAGGGAGAAAGACAAUGAUAUAAAUUUAAUUAUCUCAAAAUAUGCACUAAAAAUCACAAGUCCUUACCACCACAGCUCGAUAUGAUUUAGCUCUUGCUUCGUUCACAGGCUCAUUCGUUUAGAGAUCAACGUUACACGACGAGCGUGGCACUGUCUAAAACUUGACCUGACAUCCAAAGGAUGAAGUAAUGUACAAUAAGUCAAUGCUUGGAAUAAUAAAUCUACACAAAACUUCCUCAAAUCAAACUGAAACAUAAAAGACUUUUAAUAUGUCUAAUGUCACAAAUGUUCUAAUGGUCUGCCCCCUUGAAGUAAAUAAUGAUUAUGAAGGUCCCUAAUGUUUCAGAACCAAAAAGCUUGGUUCGAUACUUUAUAAAUUAAGCCCAAUUGUAGAAGCCCAUUACCACUAUCUGUCUUCAAAUCAAAUUCCAUUAUCCCAAGGUACAUGAACAAAAUUUAAUGACAAUCACUAAUCAAUAGGUUCGGUCCAAAAGAGAAGAUACCUUUAGCACAAAACAUUCACUGAGAAGGGGGAGGAUGACCAUAAUACACCAUCCCUGGCGGCUGAAGCGGUCUAAAACUAGGUGCCAGAGGUUGCUGCGUGAAAGGGACCGGUUGUGUUUGUAUCAUAGGUGAUGGUUGUUGAGCCAAGGGUAUUGUCUGUUGCAGCAUCUGCUGGGUCAAGGGCACCACUGGACUAACCAUGUGGGGCAUUGGUGGUGGUGGUACCGGAGUUGAGCUUGGAAGACUACCAUAACCAUAUGGGGUUAAGACUCCAUUUGAGAGCUGCAAAUAUUGCUGAGAAGGUGCACUUGGAAGCAUCUGAUACUGAGUCUGUGAAUUCGAGGCUUGGCUCUGCAUUGUUGGUUGGGGCACCAUAACUGAUUGGUAUGAAUGGUUAGCGGGAGCAGCAAGGGGCUGCAUAGACAUGAAAACAUUAGGAUCUGAACCAACGGCUGACGCUUCAGGUUUUGUGAUAGAAUUAGCAGAGGAACGCAUGGGCUUUGAUGCAAAUGCAUUCAAUCCAUUAUUAGUCUUUGUUAGAUUAGUAUGCUUUGCCUCCUCAGCCGCAAAUGUGGAGAGAACCGAUGUCAUGAUCAUUUGUGAGGAACUAGAAGCUGCAAGCUUGUCCGCAACCUCUGCUGCAAUGGCUGCAGCCGACUUCUUAGGAGUCUGUCCUGCUUUUGCAUUUGAAUCAAUGAUGGAAGUUUUCGAUACAUAACCUUCAUCAUUUAGCCGGUUUUGCAUAUUUUUAGCCUCUUCUGCUUGAGCCUGAGCCACCUGUAGUUUUUGAAGUUCAAAACAAAAUGAGUAAUGGCAACAAAAAAACUCAAUCAUCAGCACCCAUCAAAUUCACAUGAAUUAAAUUAUAGGUGUCCACGGUAAAGCUUCAUUUUUCCUCCAUAUAACAAGCCAGUCCCUCACUUUCAUAUUAUAAAACUAAAAAUACUCAUGUUGAAGUUCAAAUAAAUGUCAAAUACAAGCACAAGCAAAACAAGUCUAUUUCACUCAAGAAAAUACCUGCAUCUGGGUUCGAAUAUUCUCCAGCUCCGAUUCCUACAGUUAAUAGUCAGUUUCCCAAAUUUGUCAAUUGUAAGUACUUCAUAAUAACAUAAUGUAAUACAGAAAUCAAAAUUGUUCAAACUUCUAAGGAAAUUGAGAAAGGAUUGAUCAAGAUACCUGAACAUGCAAAGCUUCUUUUAACUGAGUGAUAAGUGCCAGGCGACUGGCUUCAACCGAUUGCAAUUUCUCAAUACACUGUUUCAAAACACUUUCUUCCUCUUCCAGUUCUUUGGCUAACUUUUUACGCUGAGGAUUUUUUGCUGGUGGAUAAUCAUAGAAACUCAGAGACUGUAUAAUUUGACAAUUGAAAGAUGGCAUAAUAAAAAAUUUCAACUAAGAGUACAAAUCUUUCAAAACAAAUUAGAUGCAUAAUGGAGAACAUUGAGACAAUGUAGACAACAUUAAAUAAUUGUUGUCAUACCCAUGGAACAAGCAAAAUCAACGUCAUUUUCCAUCUUCCUUACACGUUGAACCGCAGAAUUACAGUUGGUCAUCUCAGUUUCUUCAUUAGAAUAUUCACUAAGGACCAAGUGGAAUGCUGAUACUAUUUUUUCAGCUGCACUUCCAAUAGACAAUUUCUGCGUACCAAAUUAAGGAAUAAUGUCAACUCAACAACGAAAUCAUUGGAAGUAAAACAAAUAUAUAUAAUAUUGAUAAUAAGAAAACUAAAUGGAAACAGUCAUGGAAAAUCAAGACAGGGUCUUGCAUAACUUCUGGUGCCACCAAAAGAAAAUUGGAAAAAAAGCUUAAGAUAAAAUAGUCGCUCACCGUUCUAAUUGACCGUGAAUCUCUUUUGACAAUUCUGACUGAUCGAGUACGUUUUUUGCUAAACUCUAGAGGUGGAGGUGCCUCUUCCCCAAGUAUUACAUCUUUGAGGCUUCGAGUCCGGGAUCCAAAUACCUUCCUUUGUUCCCAUAUAUCCACCUAAGAAGGUGCAAGAAAAAUUUGAUUAACAAGUUCAAAGGAAGGAAAAAAAGGCAAAAUAAAGGCCUUAAAAUAAGAUCCUAGAAGUACUUUCUGAAAAAUUUUCAUGCUCAACGAAUCCGCAAUUUGUUCAUUUAAAGUAGACACAAGUACAUGACAACAAUCUCCAAUACUCAAUAAAAGGGAGUAGCUGCCCUGAUAAAUUCCAUUAAUUGCAUCUUCAAUUUUUAUCAGUAUUCACCAACACAUUUAGUUGGAAAAUCUUAAAACGUGCAAGAGAGUUAGACCACUCGUCCGAGAAGAGGAAAAGCAAAUAACUCAAACUUACCAAUCUAGAAAUUACAUUCUUUCCAUGGCUGUCACCAUUCUCAAGGACAUCCUUAAGUGCUGAUGGAAGAACCUUCCAGAACUCAGUAACAAAUUCAUUUCCCUUACGCUUACUAUUUUGUAAGAUAUCAUUAGCAAGAUACAAAAGAGGAACUUUCUGAACCAUUUCAGAAUUGUGGAACUGCUUAUCCCAUGUUGCAACAACCAAUUCAGCCUUGCCUCUAUGAAAUAUACACCAAUGUGACAAAGCUAUAGGAAAAGAGUUAAGAAUGACAGAAACAUCUCUUGUAACAAAUUCAACAUGAUGACACAAGCAACUAAAGGUAACAGAAUUAACAAACACUCUCUAAUAAGCAACAAUACCAAAGAGAUUAAUUACAAAAACCAUUAAGAAAAAAGCAACAAUUGAAGUGUAAUACCCAAAUUCUAUAAAAUCCCAAUCCAAGCUUUGAAGGGUAUAAAGUAAUCAAUCAACCUCUAGGCUCUAGAGAGUUGAAACAACAGAAGAUAAAAUGGGCAGGCUCAAACAAAAACGAACUAAGAAAAAAAAAUCAUCAAUUGGAAGCUUUCGAACACUACCUAACUAAAAACAAGAAGAAAAAAGGCAAGAACCCCAAAUGGGGUAACAAAAACGAAAUAAAAAAGGAUACUUUCAAUACACUGCUGCGUGCUAUUGAGCUUCGACAGCUUAUCAGCAAGUAUUUGCUCACUGAACACACUAUUCAUUCCAGUACAGCAGCAAACUAGAGCGAGAACCCGAUAACAAAACGAACAGUAGAAAUCCCUAGAAGCGCAACAAGCAAAAGGAGAAAGAUCUGAAAGGUGGAAUCAAGCAUAGGCAGCUUAAGAUGGAAAAGAAAACCAAGAAUCGAAGGAAGAAAAAAGGGAUUGAACCAAGAAAAGAGGAAGCGGGAAGAAAUCAAAAGGUGAUGAAAGUAGAGGGUUGGGGGAAAAAUGCAAGAAAAAAGGAAAAGGAAAACAAGAGUUGGAAUGAAAUGGAAAAUUGGGUAUUUGGGUAUCUGUUGAAAGGGAAGAAGAAACGGAAUCGGAGAAGGAAUCAGGUGAAAUUGAAGGAAACAGAGUUGCAGAGGAGGAAGAAGAAGAAGAGAAAAGAGAAAAGAAAAAGGGGAUGGUUUUAGAAAAUUGGAAGAAAUUUUGGGGAACGUUUUGGCGCAAACAAAUGAAAAAAAGGAAAUAAACGCUUCUCCGAUUCUUGUAAACUCCCUUCAUACCGCUUCCCUAAAGUUUUUCCAUUCCCUUUUCCUUUUUUUUCUUUUCUUUUUUCUGUUUUUUAACUUACAUUGACAAAUUUUGUAUGUAAUUAAAUAGAUACAAUUUUCGAUGUGAAACCACUCAACAUAGUUAAAUGGUGUAGUUUCUAUUUUUUAUUAAAUUCUUGGAAAUUUCCUCACUAAUUUUUUUUAAAAAAAUAAAACAAUACAAAAAUAUAUAUGAGCUCUCACUAAUUACAGCAUCAUCAAUUUUUCCAUAGAUUUAAUUUUUGACUAAUACUUAACUUCUUGACCAGAAAAUUUUAGAUUUUACUUUUUAAGUCAUAGAUUGCAUGUAUACAAAAAGAAUUUACAACCUUUCAAAUGAAAACUGUCCCAUCUAAAACUUGCAACAUUUUUUAAGUUUAAAUUUAAGAUUGCAAACAUUUAUUCGAUUAAAUCAAAAGUUUGAAGUACCCAUUGGUUACUUAUUCGUAACCAUGGGUAAAUUCUUUUUGAGUACACCCCACAUUGCUUGAAAGUUGAAAUAGCUUAUAAAUGUUGGAUACCAAAACUAAACAAAUUCAAAAGUUCAAAAAUCAAAAUUAAAAUAUACUAUAAAGUUAAAGUACACUCUUUUAUUUUACAAAGAACAUAUAAGGCGCACCAUUUUGCUUCACUUUUUAAGUACUACCAUUUCAAUUAGAUGCAUCAUAAUUUCAACGGUAGACAAAACGGACAUACUCCAACUCCUAUAAACUCUCAAUUUCUCCACCUCACAUACAGUUCAAAAUAGGGGGAAAAAUCAGUUCAGUACAAGUUGAACCCAUUAUUUCAUAUCCUGAAUUCGAAAAUGAACUGUACCAUAUUAAGAGACUUAUAUUAUAUUAUAUAAUACAUAUAUACAUACAUAGCUUUUAGAGGUAAAGAAAAUAAUAAGCAAGAAGAAAUGUGUCCAUCUAUAACAAAGUCAAAAGCACGGUGGUUAAUCAGAUCCGAAGUAGUUAGUGUCAUGAAAUUUGAAGAAGGCAUCAUAUGAAUCAUACUACAAAGCUAACUCAUUAUAGGUUUUUUUGUACCCACAGGAAAACAUGAUUACAUAACCAAAAUACAAAGUAAUCCUCUUCUUUUAGAAGUCAAUCUCAAUAUCCUAAUUAAUAUGCAAGAAAAAACCUACCCAUUGGAUUCUAUUCCAAAACCCGUCCAUCAUUUUCAGCUCAGCAGAGAUAAAUUCCUCCCUGCAAGCACUCAAGACAUUCGAACAUGCCACUCCAUGCCUUUUUAAUUUUCCAAAAUCUAAACUCGCUAAGGAAUCCACAAGGGGCACAUCAAGCAGCAGGCACGACACAACACUUAAUCAUCACGGGCAUUGUCUCAACUUACUGCUUAAUGUCUUUUCCCCUUGCUGAUGCUGUAUGUUUUAUCUGCACCUGUUCGUCUGAUAAAGGUAAAUAGUAAAUGCGAGGAGUAGCCUUGGUUUUCCUGAAAAGGUCGUCUAAGGUGACAAUAGGAGUGUCGACUUUAUCGGGAAGUGCAGGUGGAGGUGGGAGUGGUAGCUGCUCCCUUGCUUGAGCAACGUUGUUUGUGGGUGUGGGUGUGGGUGUGGGUGUGGGUGUGGGCGGGGGUGGUGGAAGAGAAGGCGGCGGAGCAUGUUGCUGCCUUGGUUGACGAGGCGAAGGCUCGGGUUGCACGGGUGGGGGCACGUUAGAGACUGGUGGAGCAACCACCGCAGGUGUAGGAGUCUGUGGAGCUUCUACUCGAGUUUUUACUUCUUGAGGAUCAACAAACUCAGCUAUAAGAAGACGCCCACCAUUUGGUGGCCAUUGAAGGUUGUAAACAGCAUCUCUAGUCUUCAGGGCUUCUUCCACCGACGAGUACUGCAUUGGUGACAUUAGUUUCCAAGCAAUAAUUAGAAAACUCAAUGUUAUGUCCAAGAAUCAAAUUCCACAUUGUGCACCACUUGAAGCAGAAAAUAAUUAGAAAACUCAAUGUUAUGUCCAAGAGUCUUACAGUUACAUAGCAAUGCGUCUUGAUGUGAUCCAUCCAGAAACUGGUAACAUUGCCAGUCUUACCCAGAAGUUCUUGCACAGCUUUGAGGGUAAAUGGACGCAGAAAACGAUCAAUUCUUAGUGAGUUUGUGGGAGGUUUUGGUGAUGGUGGAACUGCAAAAGGCAAAAGAGAGACGAGUGAAUCAGAUGUGGCCAAGAGCUUAAAAUAUAGUCAGCUCAUCAAAUUUAAUCAGAUAUGGCCAAGAGCUUAUAGUAUAGUCAGCUCCUCAAAUUUAACUCACCAACACGUUCCUUUGAUGGAUCUUCACUAGCUGUGGAGUCAGAUCUGGAGAAGUUGCGUUUUGGAGCAGUGGAUUGAUGAAUGUCCUUUGAAUUACUAGUCGAUGUAUGAGCAGCAUUUUGGGGCUCUGGAAUUUUGAGGUUCUCAGAAUUCCACCUACGCUGUCUCUUCACGGACUCAUUUCCAACCACUGCUUGAUCUGCAAAAAUAACCUCAUCAGACAAAACAAAACAAAGACAAUUGAUUUUAAAUUUGAAGGAAAUCCAAUGCAGUAAACUGUUCUUCAAUUGAAUCAAUAAUCAAUAAGACCUGUCACAUACCCCCAUCACAGCACGCCAUCCAAAUUAUAAAACCACAUUCCCUUUUAAACUCCACUUAAAGAAAAGACGAAAUUACUAUAGAGAGAGAGGUAACUAUUUGCAAUAAGACGGCCAGAUUAAGGUGAAUUCUCUUACAUUCAUAGCAGAAGGAAGCAGGACAGGACCCAAUUUUACUGUUAACAUGGAAAAUAUGGGAGGUACUCAACGUAAUACAGCCAGACUUAAAUACCAGAAAACGUACGUCUAAAGGUUUAACUCAUCUCAACCAGUCGCCUCACAUGAAAUACAAAUUCAAAAAAGAAGUAACUUGAUGAAUCUGAUAUAUGAAUCCGUGAACUUCAAUCAUUUCCUUGCUCCCUCUCUAUACUUGCCUAGGGAUUACCUUUUAUCCUUCUAUUAACACUUACUUCCUAAAGGUGCAAAUGAAUGUCAACCCUUUACUUUAGCUCCUUCGUAAAUUACAUUUCUUUUCAAGAAAAGAAGACUUCUAUCAAGCGAAAUAUACAAAAAUGAAAGCCCAAGACAAGAAAACAUGGGGGAAAACAAAAGAGAAAACACCUACAAAUUGGCUAUAUGAUCUCAACGUUCCACUUUCCUAUGAUUUUACUUAUGACAAGAACAAUCUCCCAAUAAAGUCCAUCAAAACAAAAGAAUGCACUCGAUACUAAUUAGAAGUGCUAGUGACUGAAUCGUCCACAAUAAUUCAGCACAGAACUUGGAGUUUGAAGAAGAGAGAGUAUAAUAAAAUGUUAAGGUAGCAUUUAACAAGGAGAGAAUAGAGCAUGGGGUUUUGCAGAAAUGGGGACAAUCCAUCCAGAAACUGUCUGGACUGAUACUUCAUGGUAUGGCCAGAAAAAGGCACUAAGAAAGAGAUACAUGUAGAUGGACAGAUAUGGAGAUAGAACCUGUCCAUUUAGCUGGAAAUGAAAGUAAACCCCAGAUGGCCAGAGAGAAUAUUAGUUCAACUGAAAACAAGAUUUCACAGAACCAUGAACCAUCCAUUAUAUUUGAAGGUCAUCUUACAUCUAAAGAAACCUUACCAGAAGACACCCAUCAUGAAUGUAAGAGGUACAACUAAUUCAAAAAAGAACAAGAAAAAAGAAAAUGAAAAACAUCGAGCAAAAAUAUGAAAAAGCAUAGCAACACAAUUUAUCCAAACAGCAACUUUUGUUUAAAACUAGAACAAUGUUUUGUACACUUGACUCAUCACUACUCACAGAAAGCGCAACAACACAACACAGUACUGACACUGCACCAAAGCACUUAGCCAAUUACUAAGCACUGGGAGGCAACAACAAAAUCCAGUCGUCAAGCAUCAUUUAGCUACCUAUUUCUUCCAGAAAAGCCAAUGCAGAUACUGCAGAAACUAAAUAUCAACUUUACUACCAAAUACUAAAAAACAAAAUCAUCCAUUGAAAGAAAGCUAGCAAUAUUCUGAGCUGCAAUUCAAGAGACUCAAGCAACAGAUACUCUUCUUACAACUCUUUUUAUGGUAGUGGGGUGUACUCUAAAACUCCACAUAUAUAUUCCGGUGAAUCAAAAUAAUGACAACCCUUAUCCAACAUACAACUAACAAAAGGAAGAAGAAACCAAUUCCAACAAUUGAUAUAAUAUUAUUCGUAGGAAAACAAGAAAAGGUAUGUAUGACAAAAAUUCAUUAUCCCUAACUAAAGUGACAUCCAUUACAUUGCAUAUACAUAAGUUGAAAAUAUUACAUAACAAGAAAAACUUUAAAUCAAAAUUCCCAACCAUAAAAUUAUCAGGUCAAAAUUUCAGUACUGACAGAAAAACCAUAUUGAAAAUUUCAAAACAGAAAAUCAUUUAUGUUAUAGAAGGCUUUUAAAAUAUAGAAAAAUGGGCCAAACUAAUUAGAAGUUAUGGCAAAAAAAUUUCCAUUCCUUACAGCCCAGAUAGAAGUUGGAUGGUGGCCCAUCAAUGUCUAUCAAUUAUACAAACUGAUACAUGUCUAUCGCUAAUAGACACUAAUAGAAGUCUAACAUCAAUAUUAUUAUUGAUAGAAAUUGAUAAAAGUUUAUUAUUGAUAUAUAUGUAAUAGAAACCUAUCCGUGUCUAUCAAUGAUUUUUUUUCUUUUGAUAUUUUUGUAAACAGUUUGGCAUUUAUUUUCUUUCAGUUAAAAUUUUUUAUGUUAUAUGCAGAAAUAUUUAAUUAGGCUGAGAAAAUAACACAGUUUUCAUUUAUUUCCUUUCAUUUUGGUAGCUCGGAUCAGGCUUGGGGAAGAAGAGAGGGUCUAGAAGUAAGCAUUACAUGAAGCCUUCUUUUUUCAGCAGGCAAAGAUGUAACGUCAUUCUCUAUACCAAUACUCUUUCUGUCUCCAGUUGAGCCUCGCAUUGCUAUGUCAACAACCUUUUCCUCUUGGGACAUAAGGCCCUCAUUUUUUACAUUCUUCUCUCCCAUUUCUUCAAGAUUAUUCACUGAAUCAGUCUUAUUCUCUGUUGUAUCUUCUAUUGAAUCAUCCCCAGAACUUCUAUCUAAAUUAAGCUUUUCAGAGAACCCCACAUCUACACCAUCAUGCUUCUCAUGAAGCUCAGAAAUUAUGUCCUUAACAUCUUCUUUCUUCUCAACAUCUUCUUUCACAAUAGAGUCCAUAACAUCUUUGUUCUCAGGUGACUCCAGAACAUCUCUGUUUGCAAGUGACUCUUGAACAUUCUUGUUCACAUGUGGCUCUUCAACAUCCAUAGGAUGUGAUUCGCCAGCAUCUGGGACAAUAAUGCUGGAUGAUGGUUCCACCAUCUCCUGCUUAACAUCUAGUUCUAAUUUUACAUGAUCAGCAGACAUAUUUUCCUUUAGUUCAAUCAUUUCAUUAAUUGUCACAGAAGCAGUAGAAAUAGAAUCAGUUCUUACUUGAGACCCUAAAACAGGGCUGACCUCAGAUACCUGGUCGUCUGGAGCAGAAGAGUCGUGCACGAGAUCUGCCUGUUGAGACUUCAAAUACUCAUUCUCCACCUGGAGCUCCAUAUUCACAUCAUCAAGCAGGGGCUUUGAAUCCUCACUAUCAAGCUGUGGCUUUGAACCCUCACUAACCAGUUGAGGCUUUGACUCCUCACUAACCAUGUGGGGCUUUGAUUCCUCACUAUCCAGCUGGGGCUUUGAAUCCUCACUAUCCAGCUCGAGCCUAUCCUCGUUAUCCUUGCUUUCAGUGUUCUGCAAACCUUCCACACCCACACCUAUUGCUACUUCAGAUACUACGGUUUCAGUUACAGUAGUUUUAGUUUCCACAGUAGAAACACGGACGGACGAUCCCUCUUCUACCCUGGGGGAACCAUUAAGACCAGCCCCAUCUUGAAUUCCACCUUCCUUCACAGCUGCAUUACUAUCAUCCUUUUCAACCUGAACUCCAACAUCAUCUACAUUAUCUGUGAUGUUAGUAUCUUCAUUAGUUUCUUUCGCCGUUCCAGAAACAAUAGAUGCAUGCUCUUGGUUAUUGUCACUAUUUGUAACUGGAGGGUCACCAUCAACACCAUUGGUUUCCUCAGCAUUUUCUUCCCUUUCCAUUCGAACUGCUUCAUCUAACCGUUUAACCAAAUCUUCCUUCAACCCCUUGAUGGUCAAUUUCCUUCUCUUAAGUUCCUCUUUCAACUCCGUAACCUUCCACUGAUCAAUCGGUCGAUUGUCGAGAAUUGAAUAUUUCGAUUUGGAAGACAUCCCGCUAAAUUCAAAACUCAAAUUUCAAACCUGCAAGGAAAAAAAAGAGAGGGAUGAUUAAGAGCCAUCGGAAAACAUCAUAAAAAUUAGAAAGAAAGAAAGAAAAAAAAAAAAAAAAGAUAAUGUGAAAAUGACUCACGAAAGUAUUUGGCUUGACUUUGCGAAGAGGAAAAGAAAAACAGAGGCGAAGAAACCCUUAGAUGAGGAAAUGAAAGGAAAAUUGUAACCCUAAUUCCAUAAAACAAAACCCACCAUUAGAGAUUAAAAGGGAAAAAUUACAGCAACCAUUCAAGAAAACCCACAACAGAAAAACUCUUAAAUAUUACAACUUCCAAAGAAAAAAGUUAAUUAAAAAAGAACAAAAAUGGGCCCCCGAAAUCAGUGGCUCAACUCGUUCGCUGUAACCUGAAAACAAAGGAAGAAGAGAGAAGAAACAGAAGAAGAAAAUGGAAUUUGGAAGAGAUAAAAGAAAAUGUGUUGUGUUUUUUUUCUUCUUUUUCUUUCUUUGUUUUUUUCGUUUAACACAAAUUUUAUGAAUGGAAAUCAAUGGCGUAGAAGGAAGAAGAAACAGAGCGAAGAGAUUGUGGGGCUUUCUAGGGUUUUUUGCUUCGCCGAUGUGAGUUUGGUAGUGAAACGAUGGGAAGAGUCUGUCCGAUUAAAAUCCAAUAUUUCGUUUCUAAAAUCUCCAAAAUACCCCUUUCAUUAUUUUCUUCUCUUUUUCUUUUUCUUUUAAUAUUUCAACGUAAAAUUAAUUUUCAUAAAUAUAAUAAAAAUAUUCAACUUCCAUUAACAUUGAUAAACUACAUGAUCAUUUAUCAUAAUAUUACAAUUUAUUGUGAACAGAGAUGAACUACAUGAUCAUUUAUCAUAAGACUUUUCAAAGUCAACAUUUAUCAUGAACUACAUGAUCGUGUAUCAUGAACUACACAAUCAUUACUAGGGCUUUUCAAAAUCAUAAUGUAUCAUGAACUUCAUGUCGUGUAUCGUAAACUACACACGACCAUGUAUCAUCAUCUACACUAUAAUUUACUGGGUUUUUUUUUCUUUCCAAAACCAUUGUUUAUCACGAACUAAUAAUCGUGCAUCAUAAACUACGCAAUUGUUUAACGAUUGUGUAUCAGGAUCGUUUAAAAGAAGAAUUACACGCUCGUGUGUAGCUGGUGUAAUUCGUGUAUCAUGAUCGUUUGGAAGAAAAAUCUCUACAUGCACGUACGUGACCGAUUAAUCGCAUAUUGAUAUAGGCAUUUUUUAUAUUUUCCGUUUUCAAAAUUGUUUUGUACGUGUAAAUAUUCUUUCCUUUUGUUAUAUUUUUAAAAGACCCCUAAAUUUUACAACAAAUAUUAUCCGAAUUCUCUUUUCUCUAAAAAAUAUCCUUAUAAUUUUAAAUUUACAGUAUUUUCAAAAGUACUACUCGCAUAAGAAUAUUGUGAGAAGUAGAGAUUUGUAAAUUUACUCGUUAUUUAGGUUCUUUAUGGAAAAUAUUCUCUGUUAGCUUUUUCCUUCUUCAAUUAUCCAUUUUUUAACAAAAUUCUCGACCUUGUAAAAAUUUAUAUAUUUUUUUUAAUGUUAAAUAGGCGGUUCUAAUACAUUUGUAUUUAAAUAAAAUGCUGUAAAAUUUUCUUAUAAAAUGUAAUAUUCAAUGUUCCAAAGUAUCAUCUCAUAAUUUCUCAACAAAGUCAGUCAACCAUUCGAUUCAAUUUAAAUAUUACACCAUACAUUCGUACAAUUCAAAACACUUUCGGUGUUAAAAUAUAUGAAUCAUAGAAACACAUGAAAAAGGAUCAUAAUAAGAAUUUAGAGACAGGUAAUUGGUAAAAGUUGUAAUUAAAUAUGUGUAUGUAUGUAUACGUGUAUCUAUACACAUGUAUAUACAUGCAAAUAUAUGUAUAUAUAUGGUUGUGGUUGUAAGGAUAAUGGGUAUGAAUAUCUUUUAGCUAAUUAGAGAUAGUGUAAUUUUAUUUACAAGGUUGGUUUGAAUGAAAAUAAGAUAAACAUGUUGAAAGUGAUCAAGUAUGAAAAUUUUCAACAAAUAUACAUGUUUAUAGGAUAAACAUCAUCAAUGGAAAUACUAAACUCAACUUGUUUUACCCCCUCUCCAAGGUCAAUCUUUCUUUUGCUUGAUUACUAAUUUGCUAAUCUAUCAAAACUGAAUAAUUAAACAAAGCAUUAAGAACUUUUAUCAGCAACCUCUUUUGCUAUCGUCAUUCAAUGGUCAUGGUAUGUUCAAACAAUACAUGCUCAAUUACUUUUCGCUAUACAACAAUUGUAGGAUGAUGGUGAAUUAAACCUCUUUAUCUUUAUAACAUAAGACUGUGUCAAUUACCGCUAAGUUAAGUUCAUUCUAGCACCUUAUUUAUUUUGAUAGUUUGUUAUAAUACUUUGCAUGACAUAGGUUAACUUUUAAGAUGCUAAAUGUCCACCUUAGGAGUAUAGCAAUUAAAUCAAGUAGGGUAGAUUGAGAUUUUAAUCAAACUACUUUUUGAUAAAACUGGGUAUUGAUAAUUAUUAUUGUUGGCAAAAUUAAGUACAUAAAAAUUGUAGUUACAACCUUGCUUCCAAUGCAAGAGAAAUUUGGAAACCAACCAAAUCUCGAAAGGACAAUAAUUUCCAUAAAACAUAAUAUCAAAUAAAUUUAGCUUGAAAGUAUCACAUAAACAUGUAAGGAGAUCUACCGUCUUCACUUUCACGUUGAUUCUUAUACAAAAUGAUAAAGAAGAAACAAAAAACACUUCAUUUCUUUAGCAUACUUAUUAUGAAAGUAUUACCAAUCAUAUGUAAAUGUCUUAAUUAGCUGCUCAUGAUCAUAUGUUUUGGAUAUCAAAAUGCUAAAUUUAAGUAUGACUUGAAUAUAGUGAGGCUUGAAUUUUGAAUAAUAGUUAUGUACUGAAUAUGAAUUAGAAAAUGGAGAGAAAAAAACAAUAAAUUAUAAUGGGUGGACAUUGGAGGUUUUUUUUUUUUUUUUUUUUUUUUUUUAAAUUGCAAAUGUAAAAAUUUAUUACAAAUAUAUUUAAAUUUCAAAAGUUAUUAAGACAACAUUUUAAUUUUAAAGAAGUUCAAAAUUAAUAAAAAGAAAACGAAUUAGAUUUUUUAAAAAGCAACUUCACCUCUUCAAGAAACGAAUAAUUAGACCAAAUUAAUGUAUAAGUUUCGGAUUCUGCAAUAUUAAGAAAAAAAAAGGAGUUUAAAAAAAAAAUACAAAAUAUUUACAGAAGACAAAAAUCUUUUAUCACUAAAUUUGACAUAAUAUUUCUAUAUUUUAAAAAAAUAUUUUCUAUACUUUGGUUUUUAUUUUUUGUAAAACUGAUAAUGUGGGUGUUGGCAAAAAGAUGAUAAACUUAAACCUACAAACACAUACCCACAAGGAGCCCAUGAAAAAGAAAAAUCAAAUGUUAAUAUCAAAAUUACAAAACACCAUCGACUUAUUUCUCUAUUAAGUUAAAAGCAAAGCAAAAUAGAAGAAUCCUUUACUACAGGGAACUGUUAUGGUCUCUACAUUAAACUUUUGCCUCUAUGGUAUAUGGUAUGAAUUUUACUCGCUUUCUUCGUCGCUUUCUUGCUGCAAGGUCAAGUGAUUUAGAUUCUUCUCCAAUGGCGGAAGUCCAUCUUCCGAAUCAUCGGAACCUUCAUCAUGUUCGCUCACGGAUGACUUAUCUGCACCUACAACAUAUGUUCAGUCUCGUUUCAGUGAAACCCUCACAAGUCCUUCCAUACGAAAACAACUCUAGUCCCAAAUCAAAAGGGCCUCUACUUCAUUGAUUUAGCCCAAAUUGGUUUGGUUUUCAUAAAUGUAUACUCCCAAAAACAGUCUAUCUGUUUAUUUUGGUUCGAUAAUGUUGAUUAGAGUCAAUUUGGUUUGAUUUUGAUCGGCUUGGUUGCUUGCUCUUGUCAGUAUGGUUAAUGUUUAUAACUAUGGACACCAAAAAUUUCUUCAACAUGACAAUCACAUUGUGUGAUUCUUAAAAAACAGUUGGAUGUGAAUUCGAAAAUCUACCUGUUCCUAAUAACUACUAGAUAUAAACUAAAAAUACUUCAGCAACGUUUUCUCCACGCAUAUAGAGAGUAUGAUGCAACUCCAUUUUCUUCAAAUUAAGGUGCAAAACAAAAAACAGAUCGAUGUAAUUGAUUCAAAAGAUUACCUUCGACAUUAUGCGGUUCUUUGGGGACUUGUCGUUGUUGUGAUAACCAAGCAUUCUGGACCGAAAUAAUAUCCGCACUAUUCUCACAUGCUGAGUAUUGUUUUAGAAGUUCUCUGUGUAAUACAAAAGAAAAAUAAGCAAGCAUGAUCAUGGAAAAGGCUCAAAUAAUAGCGCCAUUUAUAAGCCUAGAAUUCCUCUAUAUACUUGAAGGCUAAAUGGCUAAAUUUGUAAUUUAGUAUCAAAUAUCUCAGGUAAUUGCGAGCUAAUAGGCAGGUCCAGUUAGAAUAUGAUAAGCAGUACUGCUUUGGAAUGACUUUUUAAGUGAAGUGUUUUGAAGUGCAAAGUAAGUGUUUUUAAGCCCUUAAUCAUUUCUAAACAAGCCUUUUAAUCUUCAUUUGAUGCAAGUAGGUUGCAAUUAUUAUGGAUGAACCAGCAUAUUAUAUCGUGUUUGUUUUUAAAACUAAAAAUUUAAGAGUUAAAUAAUAAAACAUACCUAUUAACGGAAAGAAAAGCAUGACCCCACUUGAAUUUACCAAGCAACAGAUCUGCUGUUUCCCCUUCCCCACUGUUAGUUCAGUUCAAUAGAGAUAGUUAAACAAAAUGAACAGAAUACUUGCUCAUCUACACCAACAAAUAAUCAUAUUUCCAUUUCAAGCUAUAAAGUAGUUUAAACAUCCAUUAAAAAAGUGAUAAGCAGAGUGUUAACAACUUAACAUUAACAAUUACCACAAAUCAUAUUGUAUUGACAGUCUCUGGAAGUCUUAGGUUGCUAAAGGAGGAUUACUACCGGAGAUCUACAACUUGGUUAGUUACAACAUCAGCAACAACAAUAACCUUUCUUUGUGACUAAUUAGAACCAAAGGGACUAACAAAACCAAACAAAAAACUUCAUCAGAGUUCUGUAUCUUGAAGUGAAGUGACUAAUAAGACUACUCUAUAGCACUUUGCCAAAUUUGAACAAUCAAGCAGGGAAGUAUGCUGUUCUCUCACUUCCAAUGAAAGAAGUACAACACCUUAUAAAUCUUAGAUCAUUUUCCCUGAAUUAUCAGAAGUAAGCUAAUUGCACCAAAUUUAUGACAAAAGGAUACAAGAUGACAUGAGGAUUAGCAAUUGACAUGAAUCUCAGCAGAAUUUAGAACAAAGUUGCAAACAAGAGAAAAGAUGAGAUAAAGGUGCGUUACCAUAUGAUUAGAGCGGCGGCUAAUGCUUCCACGCAAGAUAACUCACAUGGUCGACCAUAGUUUACUGGGUUUGCUGCUACUAGCCAAGGUACUACAAAUAUUUGCAUAAACAAUUUGCAGGAUGUGAAAAUCAGAACCAAGAGAACAAAAUCAUGAUCUAGUAAUUACCAAAGCCAACCAAAUAGAGUCUAGUCAGGAAAAUGCACUUCAUCAAAUUUAGUGAAAUCUCAAUGGCAGUUUGGAAAUUACUAACAAUCAAAUGACAGCAAGGUUAAGAACUACACAAGACUUUCAUAUUCAAGAUGUAAAUCUCUUACAUAGGCGAGGAGCAGCACAUCGCAAUUUCACAAAUGGAACAUCACCCAACCGUGCCCAUGAGCAAUCCACAACUGCUAAUCCUUUUUGUUUAAGAAGACUAUGAUCUUCUUUGGAGACACAAUUCACCCCCACUGGACUGCCAAAAUUUUAAGAUUGAAAAGGUUCAAUAUAGGAACCAACAAAAUGUUUAUAUGCCUUUGAGUAUGAAUUUAAUCACUACCAUUCAUCUCCUUUCAUCAGAUCACAAAAAAAAUUACGAAAGCAUGUUCUUGUAAGAGGAUAGUUAGCAAUAUGAUAGAUCAUGGCCAACCAUAGGGAGAAGCACAUACUACUAGAUUGAUAAAGUACAACUAAUGCAAAAACGGCCAAAUGAAAAGUAAUAGCCAUGUUUCUAAUCCUUCAAUUUACUACAAUCAGUUAUUGACAAUAGAGUAAAGAGAUGUACACGGUUUUCGGAAAAUUUGAAAACUCUCCUCUCUCAAACACCCAACUUAACCCAGAAGAAAUAACUCUUACGUGCAGUCUUUACUUACAAGUUACAAGUUAGAACAUACUGCACUUAGCUUGCACCGUUCCCACCCUUCAAUAAAUUACACCACUAGGUGACGAGUCGAACCCUCACUAUAUCCCAAUAAAGAUUGGUUUCUUCAUUAUUAAAGAAGUGUUCCCCAAAAUACAUUAUGAAAUGGGCAAAGGUUGUAACAGAAUAGCAAGAGCUAAAAUCAAAAUCUUAGCUUGCUCAUAGACCACAAUAACGAAUAGCUCUACUCUAGCCAGUCUCCUUUGUAAAAGAUCAGAAUCUCAUAAUGUCUUUACAUUUUCCCUCUUUUUUCAUAUAAUUACUAGGCUUUUGUGAUGGAAGCCGUUAUAUGGUCCAUGGUCUCCCAGCUUGUCCAUGACUUUCUGGUUUGUAUGUAUCUGGGCCACUCCUUUACAAAUGAAAAAUAUACCCUUAGGUUGUCUAUCAAAGGGGGCUUCUCUCUGGGCCACCCAUUUAGGGAUGAAAAAUAUACCCUUUCGGUUGUCUAUCAAAGGGCGCUUCUUUUUCACUCUAGGUGAAACCGCCACAACCAUUUGGCUACAAAAGUCGGUUACAAAUUCUAAUUCAGAAGAAUUCUCAAUUGACGAUAAUUUUAGUGAAGUAAUAGCAAGUUUAUUCCAAAAUCCAAUGGAAAGAAAAUCUAUUCAGACUCCUAAAAGUAAGUUUUCCUUGGUUGAUCUAUCUAUAAUCCCAUCUAAAUUCUCCUCCUUAAUUGCAAGUUUUGGCUUAAGUUCAGGGGUUGCUUCUUCUCAAUUAUCAUUAGUGAUUGUUGUUUGUUACUUCUUUUCAGUUAUGAAAAAAUUUCCUCCAUCUCAUCAUCCGGAUGGUUGUGGCAGUUUCACCUGGAGUAAAAAUUAUUUUGAAGCUUUAAAGUUGUAGCUGGUCCUUUGAGGAUUCUCUUAAAAAACUGGUGGCAUCUUGUUCAUGUGGGUUGAAAAUAAGGUGUCAGUUAAAGAAACACUCAAAUGGGUUUUUCUUCAAAGCAACAUCAUAGAGUGUUCUUGAUGGAUAUCUAAUACAAUCCUUCUCAUUAUAUAAAAGAAGAUUCUAUGGCCGGAUCCUAUGUCAAUUCAUAGUUAUUGUGAAGGCCUUUGAUGCAUUUGUGGAGUCUUCAAUAUUUCAGUAUUUCAAGAUGGCCUAAUCAUCAUUUUCCUACCGGUUGAACCACAAAAGGUUUGCUUCUUUACCAAAUGGGUCAGUUUUUUUCAUUGGGAUUGUGUGAUUUUGUCAUGGGAGUUUCAUUCAUUAGCCUUUUGGAAAGACGAAAGAGGUUGAAAUUCUGAAUUUGAGCAGCUUCUUCAUGCUUUAUUGAUGAAAAAAGUGGAGCAUAGUGUUGAUUCUCACAGCUGAAAGUUAGAUGCCUUUAGACGUUAUUUAGUUAGAGAUGUGAUGUGACAACUAGUUUGUUAUUGUAUUAUCAUACACUAACAUUCAGUUACAACUAAACUAGAACACAAGGAAGCAUAAUCGUUCAGUACCUUAAGACAAUGCCUCCAAACCCACUGUUAACACGCAAAUCCUGCAUGAACUCAAGAGAAGUUAGAUUCAUUCUUUAUUCAAUGUAGAAAGAAAUCCGUUAAUAGUAUUUUAUACACAAUGCCAUCUAACUAAAACCUUAAACAAGCAUGAAUCCGAUUAAUCAUACAAAUAUGAAAGCAUCUUGCCUCAUUUAAUGAAUCAACUUAAAAAUAAUUAAACAAAACUGUACUUUUUGUUCCUUAGUUUUUACUAUUUCUAUUUGGUCCCUGUUUUUUCAACUUCUACAAUUUAAACCCAAUUUGUUGGUUUACAAUUGAAAGGCAUGAAUGUCAAGAGUUUCAAGGAUUCUGUCAUCUAAGUUGUACUUUUUAUAAAGCAUUGUAUGACCAAACUAAGAAAUUAGGAUUACACAUUUGGAAAGUUCCUCGUUUUGGACAUUCUCCACUUGGGAAGCAAAACCAUCCAUUAGAUUUUCUCCAGCAUCUAAACACAAUAUAACCUAUUUUUCUAUAGACUUCCAUUCCUGUUCCCUAAGCAUCGAAUUCAUAUUGAUACCAAUCAUCAUAUGUGAAUGCAUCUUCAAAAUUCCCAGCAAGAUCGUAUAGAACUAAGUCAAUACAUCCAACAAUACAUUUCGUACAAUAACUAACGAAGUGGAGAGGGAAUGCAAACAUACAAACUAAUUAACCCUGUUAGAGAACUAAAAUGGUUUCUUUAUAUGCCUACACGAACCAAUCACUGCGAAAAUAAGCAACAUAGUAAAAAAUAUGAAAACAAAAGAAAAGGAGAGAAUCAGGUACGUUCUUUUAACAAGCCAAAUCGUGCAAGCUUGCGUCCUGUACACCUUUUUGCAUCACACUGCCCAAAAUCCUGAAUCAACCACAAAACACCAUCAAUUUCAAUUUACUUACAACUUUGUAAGCUCAAGCUUUCAUUCCCAUUUGUAACAACAGCACAACAGUAACAAGUUUAAGGAUGACACAAUUCAGAAUUCAACAACAAAAACGCGAAGGAAAAAAAAAUGUUAAGCACACACCCACAUGGCAAGGUGAAUAUUUGGACGCGUUGGCUCCUCUUCAUUGGCUGCAACAAAAAGGAACUCGUCAGGAACCUAAAUCCAAAGUCUCUCCACUAUAAAAGGGCUUCUUUAAACAGAACAAAAUCACCCAUGUAGAAGCAAACUUCAGUGAGACAAAGUAGGCACCUGGGUCGACCGGCAAACACUCAUCCUCUCUGAAAAAAAGAAAUAAACAAAACAAAUGAUCGAUAUAAUGAAAAGACGAAUCAGAGGAAAAGGGUAAGAGUAUAUGUAAAUACCCAAUAAAUUUAUGGCCCCGAGUAGAUUGUCCGCGACGAGGAUGAUGAUUUUUGAAGCGUCUAGUCUUGUUAUGGCUCAUUCUGAGGCAGUUUAGUGAAGUGGGAUUCGGUGAUGUUGGGUUCUCCUUUACUUCUAGACCUGUUCAGAAAAAUCAUUGGAAUAAUAAUAACAUGACCUGGGUCGGUUAAAUAAGUGUAGGGUUGGCCCAAGCCAAUAUAAACCUAAACCCUGAACCUUUUUACCGAAAUUCCUUCAAUCACCCAGUCGCCCACACGCUCCGUCGCCGCGCCCCUUUCCGAAAUUCCUUCAAUCUUCUCAAGGGUAGUGUUAAGAGGAAGAGUCCUAAGAAGCUACUAAAGGAAGAAGAGCUCUCAGAAAGUAGGAAAGUUUCCCUGACUAUUUUCUUCCCCUUUACUUGAUAUUAUUGUUUGUCCUUAUUUUUCUGCAUUAUCUCUUCUGGUUUUGGUCGUCAAAUUCAUUUGCAUAAUUGUAAUUAUCCAUAGUUUAUGAUUAGUUUUUACAAUUCGAAAGGUUAAAAUUUUGGAGUUAAGAUAGAAUGACCAAUUUCUAAAAACCACAAAACAUGCUGUGGGUGUUGUAAUUAUACUAACAAAGGCUUUCUUUGUUCAAGCUUCAAUUCUUCCUACCUUGUAAAUAUAAACUAUGAACUCCCAACUUACUUUUUCUUAAAAAAAUAUUAAUAGUAAACAAUUUUACUUUUAAUACAUAUGUAUAAGUAUAUAAACGGCGAUGGAGUAAGGUUUGUCUUUGUCAUGCCAUUGAAUUUUAAGCUUCGAAUAUGUUAAAUUCAUAUUUGUUAAUAGAAAAAUAAGGAAAAAGUGUACCCCUAAAAUAAAACCCUAAACCCUUUCAUAUUCCUCUCACUCUUGUUCCACCUCCGUCUUUGCGCCUUUGCGCCUUUGCGCCAAAUCUCUAUCUAUGUAUCACUCUCAAUUGAGCCUUUGAUCAUCUGUAAAUUUUAGUUUUUGCUUUUUUUUUCCUGCCUUUCUUCCCAUAUCUAAUAUUUUUUUAUGUUGUCUACCAACUCAGAUUUGCAUUCUGAGAAAUAAAUUCUCCAUAAACAUGGCGGGGCUUCUAUUUAAUGAUAUUUUCAAGGUCAAGUGUGUCAACCCAGAUGGUAAAAAGUAUGAUAAAGGUACUUCCCUCAAGCUUCUUAUUGCUCUCUCAUUCUUUUAAUUCUUAGUUUCUGGUUUAUGAACUUUUGAGCCUCCGUUGAGAUGUUGGGAAUCACAAAACUCACUUGUUACAAGACGCUGCUCUCUCAAUAGACGAGCUACUCUCAUUGCCAAUUGGUUUUGAGAUGCCCAUGCUAUAAAAUAGCCCCCUUUGUGGACUUGAAACUUCUUCACUGUAUUGAUUUUAGCGUGAAGGAUUUUACAGGAUGCACAUUGAUUGCAUAAAAUUGUUGUUCUAGUUUCUAGAAUUGAAGCACGGAGUGAGAAGCUUUCGAUGCAUAUGCUGCUGGAUGUAAAUACAGAGAUAUAUCCUAUUGAUGAAGGUGAGAAGCUUCUGAUGGUCUUGUCUCCCACGUUGAACUAUGAUGGAUCUCCUGUUACCAGCUAUAAAGAUCAGGUAAUCCCUCCCAAUGUUUUAUUUAACUUUGUUGAUGGAGGAUUCGGGCUGUUCCUUUUCUGUUUGCAUUGUUUAAAAGACCAGACAGGUAAAAAAAAAAAACUGUUGGCAUCUGCGUCCAUAUCAAUUUUUCCAUGAGUAGAAAUGGUAGAUAUAUAAUAAUAUUUUAUAGGAAUUACUAAAGAUAUCAUUAAUAACUCCUCAAGGUAUCUCUGCGACUGAACAUUUGGAGAAGGAUCUUAUCAAGGAGUCUAAAAAAAACUAGAAAAAAGGGUCUGCAAAUUGCAGGGCAAGUAUCCAUUGGUUUCGUUCUGUCAAGGCCGUGCUUGUGCUAGCCAUGUCUCUUGAAAACAAAUGUGAGGAAAGGAAUGUGACUUAUUUAGGCUCCUUAUGACUUGUGUCUAAGGCUUGUGAUGCAUGACAUAGAUUUGUUAAGUCUUGAAUAUGCGCUUGGUGUUCCAACUUCCCUUAAGACACUGAGGAGCAUCUUAUUAAUCUCAAUAGAGUCCUUCAAGUUUUUGAAUUUCUUGAACCAAUAUUUCGGAGGAGGCCCUUGUUUUAAUCUACCUUGUUGCAUCUAUGGCUCAAAAGAAAUUGGAGAAUCUUUAGAGAUAUAGAAAAGUCAUGAGAGGUGGUUUAGAGUGAGUUGCAUUUCAAUGCCUCUCUGUAGGCGUGCAGAGAGCUUGUUCCACUUCUUUUUGAAAAAAACUGUAUUGUUCUUUUAAUUUUGUUCUCUUUGCUUCUAUGUUAUGCUGUACUGUCAUUUAUUUUUAUCUGCUUCUUUUGCUCUUUCAUUACAUUUAUUUCUUAUGAAGAAAAUAUGCACUUGUUAAUUUAUUUAAUUUUAUUUUAAAGGUUCGUAACUUUGUAUAAAUUGCCAACACAAGCAUAGCGUAGUUGGCAUUUGUAUGUUCCCGAGGACAAGAUGUUCGUGUUCAAAUUCCCCACCCCAAGUUGUACUUAAAAAGACUUUUUUUUAAAGAAACUUCGUAUAGACUAUAGAAACAAAAGUAUAAUCAAAAUUUUGUAGAUGUUGGAUAGCAUUAGAAACGUAGAUACACUUUUAACAUAAAGUUAACAAGAGAAACUUUGACAAACCUGGUUUAAUUCAGUUUCCAUGAUCGUAAUUGUAAACAUCACAUUUGAAAUUUUAGUGGUAAUAUCCUUCAAAUGAACUUAAUUUUUGGCAGGAAGGGAAGAAAUCUUUAGCUGAUAAGUUUGAAUACAUCAUGCAUGGUAAAACAUACAAACUUUCAGAUGAAGGCUCAGGUUCAGACUUGAAAGUGUAAGUGACCUAACAUUCUCACGAUUUUCUGCAACAGUUCAAAUCUGUCAUUUUCUUGUCAAAUCUUCUAUGAAUAAAACAAGUACCCUAACCAAUUGGAGAGGGCAGUUAACCUCUCCUUCCCUACAAUUAGACCGUGUACCAUGUCCAUGACUCCACUAACCAAUUGCUUUGGGGAUUAUACCCUUUUUACUCUUUCUAGCAUGAGUACUAAUAAUUGAGUCGUAUGAGGCGUUUGCAACUCAAUUAAUAAAUUGUUUCACAUGUCUCGUAAAUCGUUGGCUCUGAUGUUGUUUGGUUGGAAUGAUUGUAUAUGCAGGGAGGUUUAUGCAUCUUUUGGAGGACUCCAAAUGCUGUUGAAGGGAGAUCCCAUCCACUGUGCCAAAUUCAGGGUGGAUCAGAACAUGUUUUUGCUCCUUCGAAAACUCACAUAAAACAUACAAAUCUCUAGUAUGGCCUUUUGUUAUUACAAAGAUUGUGAUAACUCUGCAUAACUAUUGAUCAUAUCUGCAGAUAAAUUUUGAAUUGAAUUCUUUUACCAGAUCGAUCUUCAUAGUCGUUGUAUGGUUAGUGCUAUCUUAAAAUUUUCUAGUGGUUUGUUUUUUUCACUCAACAUUAGUGAGUGUUGCAACAAUUCUCCUUAGAUUGUAAUUUAAAUUAAUUGAACUAUAUUAUUGACUAAUAAUUAUAGUUGAAGGAAAAAUAGACCUAAAAAUGAAAGGAUUAGGUAGCAAAGGAAUUCUCGCACCACAAAUAUAUAUGAGUUAGAACUAUAUUUUCCUUUAAUUAAAAAUAAAUUUUGUUGAACUGAUUUAUAUAUCUAAUAUGAUUUGAGGAUUAAAACAUUCAUCAAUAAUACAUUCGUAAAUUGGAGUAUGGUUCGACUUUGAUAUGGAGUCAAUAUCUUUAAUAUUAAUUAGAGAAAAAUACCUUUUUGUCUCUGCCUUCUAUUAGUUCAUCAUUUUUAAGCUUAGAUUUUGGUUUUAAUUUAGUUUAUAAGCAUCAAAAUAUUGCAAUUUUACCCAUAUUUACAAUUUGUUUCAAUCUUCCGUCCUUCAACUUUGAAUAUUGUUCCAUAGGAGAAAAUGAACGUCAUUUCUCGUUUAAUAUUUUGACAUUCUUCUUAUUUCAUAACAAUCCUAAACAUAUAUUGCCAAGUACCUCCAACUUCUGAAGUAUAGAUUAAUCUCCUCUCUGUUUAACUUUAACAAACAUUAUAACGAAUAUAUAUAAUAAAUAAUUUGAAAGCAGUCCUACGCCGUUUGAUGGAAGUGCCAAUUACGAUGAUGACGAUUUGCCUCCGUUCAACAUCGAUUAAAGAAAACUAAAGUAAUAGCAAUGAGGAGUAAUUUU